GUUUCUUUAGGUAGCAUGCAUAUUCAUUCAAACAUGGCAACUAUCCUGAAGCAAUAUAGAAAAAUGUUUAACAAUUUGUUUCUUUUUUGGUAUGAAACAUAAUUAUCCAUCCAAGCAACGCAAACAACAAAUCCAAAACAAUAUAAAAUGAUAGUCCAGUUCACGUGUUGUUGCUUUUAGCUGUCAUGCAUACUGCUAACGUUUUCCAUUAAAUC
Molecule: long non-coding RNA, 215 nt
Filed under: Mytilus galloprovincialis (Mediterranean mussel)
Lineage: Eukaryota; Metazoa; Mollusca; Bivalvia; Mytilida; Mytilidae
Source: RNAcentral